Molecule: ribosomal RNA, 522 nt
Filed under: uncultured bacterium
Lineage: Bacteria
Description: bacterial SSU rRNA
Rfam family: Bacterial small subunit ribosomal RNA
Source: RNAcentral
UUAGGAGUAUUGGACAAUGGGCGCAAGCCUGAUCCAGCCAUGCCGCGUGAGCGAUGAAGGCCUUCGGGUUGUAAAGCUCUUUAGCCGACGAAUAUAAUGACUGUAGUCGGAGAAUAAGCCCCGGCUAACUUCGUGCCAGCAGCCGCGGUAAUACGAAGGGGGCGAGCGUUAUUCGGAAUCACUGGGCGUAAAGCGUGCGUAGGCGGUCUUGAAAGUUGGGAGUGAAAGCCCAGGGCUUAACCUGGGAACUGCGCUUGAUACUGCGGAGCUAGAGAUCGGGAGAGGAGAGUGGAAUUCCCAGUGUAGAGGUGAAAUUCGUAGAUAUUGGGAAGAACACCGGUGGCGAAGGCGGCUCUCUGGACCGAUACUGACGCUGAGGCGCGAAAGCGUGGGGAGCAAACAGGAUUAGAUACCCUGGUAGUCCACGCCGUAAACGAUGUGUGCUAGACGUUGGGGGUUUGGCCCUCGGUGUCGCAGCUAACGCAUUAAGCACACCGCCUGGGGAGUACGGCCGCAAGGUUA